Molecule: ribosomal RNA, 511 nt
Filed under: uncultured bacterium
Lineage: Bacteria
Description: partial 23S ribosomal RNA
Rfam family: Bacterial large subunit ribosomal RNA
Source: RNAcentral
GUAAUUGAAGGUUGCGGGUUCACCCGUAAAGCUUAUAUCUUACAAUCUUUAUAGAAAAUAAGUAUCGUGAGAGAACGGUGAAAAAAAAUCUGAGAAAGAAUUGAAAAAUUCUGAAAUUUAAUGCACACAGCAGUUGAUGUGGUAUAAUAUCAACGUACCUUUGCAUAAUGUUCUAGCUAGUUUAUUAAAAUAGCGAGCUUAAUAAAAAAUUAAGCGUAUUGAAAAAAUGAUAGUUAUUUUAAUAAGACCCGAAGCUAAGCGAUCUAAUUAUGGACAGGCUAAAAUAAAAAAUUUGAGGGCCGAACCUGUGAAUGUUGCAAAAUUCUAGGAGGAUCUGUAAUUAGGGGUGAAAGGCUAAUCAAGCUUAGUGAUAGCUGGUUUUCCGCGAAACCUAUGGACGUAGGGGUUAUUUUUUAGGUAGUGUGGUAAAGAAAACUUAUGGGGAUUUUAUCAAAAAAACCUAUUUGAACCUUAUAAUACAUUAUUUUAAAUAAUAAUACUCAGACUAAUG